RNAcentral lists this ribosomal RNA (243 nucleotides) under uncultured bacterium. RNAcentral's name for it is "partial 16S ribosomal RNA". It matches the Rfam family "Bacterial small subunit ribosomal RNA", at positions 531 to 773 of the family's 1533-position model. The record is from RNAcentral.
GGAGCAAGCGUUAUCCGGAUUUAUUGGGUGUAAAGGGUGCGUAGACGGGACGACAAGUUGGUUGUGAAAUCCCUCGGCUUAACUGAGGAACUGCAACCAAAACUAUCAUUCUUGAGUGCUGGAGAGGAAAGUGGAAUUCCUAGUGUAGCGGUGAAAUGCGUAGAUAUUAGGAGGAACACCAGUGGCGAAGGCGACUUUCUGGACAGUAACUGACGUUGAGGCACGAAAGCGUGGGUAGCAAAC